This 468-nucleotide ribosomal RNA is filed under the name uncultured bacterium. RNAcentral describes it as "partial 16S ribosomal RNA". It matches the Rfam family "Bacterial small subunit ribosomal RNA", at positions 28 to 507 of the family's 1533-position model. The record is from RNAcentral.
GACGAACGCUGGCGGCGUGCUUAACACAUGCAAGUCGAACGGAAAGGCCCUGCUUUUGUGGGGUGCUCGAGUGGCGAACGGGUGAGUAACACGUGAGUAACCUACCCUUGACUUUGGGAUAACUUCAGGAAACUGGGGCUAAUACCGGAUAGGAUCUCCUGCUGCAUGGUGGGGGUUGGAAAGUUUCGGCGGUUUGGGAUGGACUCGCGGCUUACCAGCUUGUUGGUGGGGUAGGGGCUUACCAAGGCUUUGACGGGUAGCCGGCCUGAGAGGGUGACCGGGCACAUUGGGACUGAGAUACGGCCCAGACUCCUACGGGAGGCAGCAGUGGCGAAUAUUGCACAAUGGGCGGAAGCCUGAUGCAGCAACCCCGCGUGCGGGAUGACGGCCUUUGGGUUGUAAACCGCUUUAGCCUGUGACGAAGCGUGAGUGACGGUAAUGGGUAAAGAAGCACCGGCUAACUACGUG